GUGGAUUUUCACUCAGAUGAUGAUGAGAGUGAAAUUUUGCAAGUCUGCGCUGGUGCAUAAUCGCUCUACCUCCUCCAAACAGUUCACGAGGCAGCAGCGAGGCUUCUUACUGGUUUUCAGCAGACGGCUUCGCAUCACUACCACAAUCCUCCUGGCUUCUCUCCAUUGGCUCCCUGUAUUGAUUUGAACAUUUCACUGAUCACUUUUAAAGCACGUCAAGGUUUGGCUCCAAGCUACAGAGCAGCAAUAUUGACCCCAAGUGAACCAACUUGCAGCUUUAAAGCCUCAGGUGCGGCCCCAGGGGUCUUAAAUCAGAAGGUGAUCUCACCGAGGGUGACCUCAACCUCCUUAAAAUACAUUUUUAUAAGCUUCCGAUGUUGUCUUUUAGCAGGUUUUACCUUUUAUUUCUGUUUAUAUUUCUUGUUUAUCUUUUGUUUUAUUACCACUAUUGCUUUUAUUCUUCCUUGUUACUGCUUUAACACAAUCUUACCUUUUUGCCAAUUUUAACAAAUUCUUAUAGACUUGGGUUUAGGUCAUAUGUCUUAUGUUAGCAGCUUUCCCCCCUCAAAUGUCGUUUUACUUUUUACUGUUCUGUUGUUUCCCUUCUUUGAAAGCUGCUAUUACUUUUAUUUAUUUAUUGUUGUUUCUUUAAAAAAAUAGCUUUUUGUCUUUAUUCAUCUUUUUUUUAGCUUUGUUUUUAAUUUGCAAGUCUUUUUUUUCCCUUUAACUGUUUUUCUUGUUUUUUAUUUGUACUUGUGCUGCAUACUUUUACCCUCGGCCAUCAAAAAACAAAUUUAGACAUGUUUUGUCUGAUGUUGUGUUUUAGGAUCGAGUUUUUAUAGUUUGUGUAUUUUUAAAGGUCUCUGACUGUUACUGUGACUUGUGUUGACAUUUUCUUUUACACUGAUGUUAUUGUCUUCUUGGCUCUGCUCUAACUUAAUCUUACCUCUUGCCUUCGUUAAACAUAUUUUUUUUAACAUGUUUUUAUCUUAUAACAUCUUCUUACUGUUUUUUCUUUCUCAGUUGUCUUGUUUAUUUUUUACUAUCACUAUCAUUUUGAUUUUUUUUAAUCAAUAUUGAUAUUUAUUUCAUGUUUUCCCUCAACUUAAUCUUCUCUUUUGCCAUCUUUAAAGAUAUUUUUCAACAACUGGUUCUGUACUACAAUGAAAGCUCGAUGUGCCAGCGGUCACUGAAGAACUCUGGAAGGUUGAUGUCGUUUCAUUGCUACUGUAAAAUGUGCAAAACAACAAAAUACACUCCACUGAGUGUGUCCAAACGUCUGACUGGCACUGUGUUGUUGUUGUUUUUAAAAUUUUUACUGGCUUAUUGCUUCUGUUAUUUUAUUGGUAUUUAAUUAAAACAUUGAGAUUUUUUUUCUGGAUGUUUUAAUUUAAUUUGCCAUCUCAAAACCUUUGCAGACUUUCUGUGUGUCACUUUUCAAUGCUUGUUAUUUCUAUUGUAUUGGUAUUUUUAUUGACAGUUGUUUACAUUUCAUCUAGUUUGUAUUGAUGACCUUAUCCUUCUUCUGCUUGUCUCUCAAAGCACCUUAAAAAAAUUUUCUAAGGUGCUCAACAGCAUCAUUAAAGUCAUUAUCAUAGUA
Molecule: long non-coding RNA, 1600 nt
Organism: Astatotilapia calliptera (eastern happy)
Lineage: Eukaryota; Metazoa; Chordata; Actinopteri; Cichliformes; Cichlidae
Source: Ensembl